GAUGAACGCUGGCGGCAUGCCUAACACAUGCAAGUCGAUCGGUAAGGCUCUUCGGAGUACACGAGAGGCGGACGGCUGAGUAACGCGUAGGAACACACCCUGCAGUGAGGGAUAAGACACCGAAAGGUGUUCUAAUACCGCAUACGGUCUUCGGAUUAAAGCAUUUAUGCGCUGAAGGAGUGGCCUGCGUCAUAUUAGAUAGUUGGUGAGGUAAUGGCUCACCAAGUCGAUGAUGUGUAGCUGGUCUGAGAGGAUGAUCAGCCAGACUGGAACUGAGACACGGUCCAGACUCCUACGGGAGGCAGCAGUGAGGAAUAUUUCACAAUGAGCGAAAGCUUGAUGGAGCAAUGCCGCGUGCAGGAUGAAGGCCCUCGGGUGGUAAACUGCUUUUAUAAGAGAAGAUUAUGACGGUAACUUAUGAAUAAGGGACGGCUAACUACGU
Molecule: ribosomal RNA, 442 nt
Filed under: uncultured bacterium
Lineage: Bacteria
Description: partial 16S ribosomal RNA
Rfam family: Bacterial small subunit ribosomal RNA
Source: RNAcentral